RNAcentral lists this ribosomal RNA (799 nucleotides) under uncultured bacterium. Its description in RNAcentral is "bacterial SSU rRNA". It matches the Rfam family "Bacterial small subunit ribosomal RNA", at positions 1 to 817 of the family's 1533-position model. The record is from RNAcentral.
UUUUGCGGCGCGAUUCGCCUUAGAGUUUGAUCCUGGCUCAGAAUCAACGCUGGCGGCGCGCUUAACACAUGCAAGUCGAACGAGAAAGUGGAGCAAUCCAUGAGUACAGUGGCGCACUGGUGAGUAACACGUGGGUAUCCACCUCUUUGUGGGGAAUAACAUUGGGAAACCGAUGCUAAUACCGCAUACGUCCGAGAGGAGAAAGCCGAAAGGCGCAGAGAGAGGAGCCCGCGCCCGAUUAGCUAGUUGGUAAGGUAAUGGCUUACCAAGGCGACGAUCGGUAGCCGGCCUGAGAGGGCACACGGCCACACUGGCACUGAAACACGGGCCAGACUCCUACGGGAGGCAGCAGUGGGGAAUCUUGCACAAUGGGGGAAACCCUGAUGCAGCGACGCCGCGUGAGUGAUGAAGCCCUUCGGGGUGUAAAGCUCUUUCGACAGGAACGAUAAUGACGGUACCUGAAGAAGAAGCUGCGGCUAACUACGUGCCAGCAGCCGCGGUAAUACGUAGGCAGCAAGCGUUGUUCGGAAUUACUGGGCGUAAAGAGUGCGUAGGUGGUUGGCUAAGUUUGGUGUGAAAUCUCCCGGCUCAACUGGGAGGGUGCGCCGAAAACUGGCUGGCUAGAGUGUGGGAGAGGGACGUGGAAUUCCUGGUGUAGCGGUGAAAUGCGUAGAUAUCAGGAGGAACACCUGCGGUGUAGACGGCGUCCUGGACCAUUACUGACACUGAGGCACGAAAGCGUGGGGAGCAAACAGGAUUAGAUACCCUGGUAGUCCAAGGUCGAAUCGUUAGGGCUGCU